ACCUGGGGAACCCAGGCUAAUACCGCAUACGUCCUACGGGAGAAAGGGGGCUUCGGCUCCCGCUAUCGGAUGAGCCUAUGUCGGAUUAGCUAGUUGGUGAGGUAAAGGCUCACCAAGGCGACGAUCCGUAGCUGGUCUGAGAGGAUGAUCAGCCACAUCGGGACUGAGACACGGCCCGAACUCCUACGGGAGGCAGCAGUGGGGAAUAUUGGACAAUGGGGGCAACCCUGAUCCAGCCAUGCCGCGUGUGUGAAGAAGGCCUUAGGGUUGUAAAGCACUUUCAGCGAGGAAGAACGCCUGGCGGUUAAUACCCGCCAGGAAAGACAUCACUCGCAGAAGAAGCACCGGCUAACUCCGUGCCAGCAGCCGCGGUAAUACGGAGGGUGCAAGCGUUAAUCGGAAUUACUGGGCGUAAAGCGCGCGUAGGUGGCUUGAUAAGCCGGUUGUGAAAGCCCCGGGCUCAACCUGGGAACGGCAUCCGGAACUGUCAGGCUAGAGUGCAGGAGAGGAAGGUAGAAUUCCCGGUGUAGCGGUGAAAUGCGUAGAGAUCGGGAGGAAUACCAGUGGCGAAGGCGGCCUUCUGGACUGACACUGACACUGAGGUGCGAAAGCGUGGGUAGCAAACAGGAUUAGAUACCCUGGUAGUCCACGCCGUAAACGAUGUCGACCAGCCGUUGGGUGCCUAGCGCACUUUGUGGCGAAGUUAACGCGAUAAGUCGACCGCCUGGGGAGUACGGCCGCAAGGUUAAAACUCAAAUGAAUUGACGGGGGCCCGCACAAGCGGUGGAGCAUGUGGUUUAAUUCGAUGCAACGCGAAGAACCUUACCUACCCUUGACAUCCUGCGAAUUCGUGAGAGAUCACUUAGUGCCUUCGGGAACGCAGAGACAGGUGCUGCAUGGCUGUCGUCAGCUCGUGUUGUGAAAUGUUGGGUUAAGUCCCGUAACGAGCGCAACCCUUGUCCUUAUUUGCCAGCACGUAAUGGUGGGAACUCUAAGGAGACUGCCGGUGACAAACCGGAGGAAGGUGGGGACGACGUCAAGUCAUCAUGGCCCUUACGGGUAGGGCUACACACGUGCUACAAUGGCCGGUACAAAGGGUUGCCAACUCGCGAGAGUGAGCCAAUCCCGAAAAGCCGGUCUCAGUCCGGAUCGGAGUCUGCAACUCGACUCCGUGAAGUCGGAAUCGCUAGUAAUCGUGGAUCAGAAUGCCACG
RNAcentral lists this ribosomal RNA (1213 nucleotides) under Pseudomonas sp. UDC342. RNAcentral describes it as "bacterial SSU rRNA". It matches the Rfam family "Bacterial small subunit ribosomal RNA", at positions 146 to 1361 of the family's 1533-position model. Lineage: Bacteria; Pseudomonadati; Pseudomonadota; Gammaproteobacteria; Pseudomonadales; Pseudomonadaceae. The record is from RNAcentral.